Dermochelys coriacea (leatherback sea turtle) is the source of this 5248-nucleotide long non-coding RNA. RefSeq lists it as uncharacterized. The record is from RefSeq and is a predicted model, not a curated record. The transcript is spliced from 3 exons. Lineage: Eukaryota; Metazoa; Chordata; Testudines; Dermochelyidae.
UGCAGGAUCCUUAUUAGAAAUUAAUUCCUUCUGAAGACACCAAGUUUAGAAAUAUCUUCAGUCUGGUUUCUACAUUUCUCAGAUACAUGAUGUUGACUACUUGAACCAAACUGAUACUUGCUCAAACACUUGCUCUCAGAUUACUGGGAAAACCACUUCCAAAGACAAAUAAUCAAACUACAAACUAGCUUGGAAUUCUAAAUCAAUGUUUGCAGCCAAUGAAACACAACACAGACAAAAAAAGUUUUAACAUGGAAACUUACUCUUAGAAAAUACAUACUCAUUUCCUGACAGUCUUCUCAAGCCAUCCUGAAAUAAAGAUUCUAUAAGUUGUAGGAAACCAUUAUCAAGCAUAAAGAAUACUUUACACCAUUUCCCCAUAGGAACUAGUCCUGGGUACCUAAAAUAUUGGUCAUAUUUUAGGGAGUGCCUCAAGCAGCAUGCUUCUUUUCAGUCUUCCAGUACAGAGGUAGAAGUAACUACCAAGGGACUCAGAAGCUCCAACUCCACUUUCUUGGAGUUGAAAAGUUUGAUAAAAGUGGUAACUGCUACUGCAAGAUUUCCUUUUUAAUGACACAGGUCUAAAAGCAGGGACACUCGGACUAUUGAAUACCACUGGUAGGAGGUCUCCAGAAAGGGUAUUUAUUUGAUCAACAAUGUAUUGGCCUCCUCUCAUCCCCUUUCAUUGAUGGUUGCAUGAUGUUUUUAAUUGAAAUUCACAAAUUUCACUUGUUUUGCAUUUCAAUUAUGCUGUUUCCACAAGCGACCCAUUCUGGGGUUCCUGACCAGCAUUUGUAGGAAGAGGGUUUGAGAUAUUCCACUAUGAAAAUCCAGUGCAGGUUUAGUGUGUAGGGCAGACUGGACAUGGUAAAAAGCUCCUUAGCAGGUCAAAGUUCAGUUUUACAACUUCUGUAUAGUCACUGACUGCUUCAGUUCAAUUGCAGUGCAGUGAUCUUUUAAGCUUUUUCUUAAAAGCUUUCAGGAACUUGGGAUACUACUGAUUAGGUUAUCAAUAUAUGUAGUUUCCAAUGGAACUAAAGAAUUAUUCACGUAAGAGUAGCAGUGUUUCCAAGCCAACUGACUGAAAAACAGCAAGAGUAACAAUCUUCAUGCUUACUGGUGCCUCUCAGGUCAACUUCACUGGUGUGGCCUAAAUGCAAGGCAAGUCCCCCUGAAGGUACAGGCACUAUAGCUGACGAACCCUCAGUCAGGUGGAUGCAGGGAUUCCCUUGCCCCAGUGGUGGAAGACAGAUACCCACUGGGUCAGAUCAGUUAGUUGAUGUUUGUUUAAAUUUUCUUUUCCUACUCACAGUCAUCAGACCUCCAACAAGAUCACUUGUGUGAGGAUCUUCAUCUUUGGUACCUAACUGAGGGGAAUAAAGUUCUGUUGUCCGUAAAAUUUCCAAAACUCUGUCCAAAGCCUCUGCUACCGUGACAGGGCUGUUCUCCUGGGCAGUAUUGAUGAUGUUAAUAACCUGAGGGGGUGGGAGGGAAGAGUAAAACCAGAUUGCUUCAAAGAAAAAACAUUGUUCCCUUCAUAUUAUUACAAAAUCUUAAUCCCCACGACAUUUACAGUGACAGCAGUCAGUAUACUGUGUUAUUUCACACUUUGUAGAAGUCCUAUGGUCACCCCAAAUACUAAGUGUAUUAUAUAAAUAACCAGAGAGUCUAGAUUUUCUGAAUCUGAAUUCCCUCCCUUACAUUCUAUUAUUUUGGUGCUUUAAACAGCAGAUUAGGUGAGAAGAAACCUACUGAGGAGCUAUGGGGACCAGGAGCCUGAGUGAAGAGAGAGGUGUGAAUGCCUAGCCUAGGCAUCCUUAUUAGAAGUUGUGUGUCUGGGCCCAAGGUAUUUUAUAGGCAGGCUAAUGGGUGGCAAUGCCACAAGACUACUGAGACCCGAUAAACUAUGGGACUAUACAGGUCUCCAGACAAAGAAUCCAGGCCAGAACUCAAACAUUGUGAUUGUGGAGGCAAAGCUAUGAUUUUCUAAAUGGCUCUCAAUAUAAAAGGAAGAGAAAGCAGGGGCCACACAGAUAUUCUAUUCUAUGGCUAUAAUUUAGAAGGAGAGACCCAAAGAGGAUAUUUGUAACAGAGUAAAUAAAAUUGAGAUGCACAAUUUCCCUUUGUUGUAAAUAGACCCACAUAUUUUUCUGCAAAGAUAGUACCUAACCCUGAGUUUGUGGCAUACAGUAGCAGUCAGUGAUACAUUUUUUUACCUUUGUGAUAGGUGCUUCUAUUGUCAUUGAGUGGAUUCUUGCCAUUGAUGAAUACCGACGAUUCUGUAAGCUUGGCGCUGCCAUUGCAUAAAAUAUACAGAUUUAGAUUUUGACACUGCACGUAACUCCGAACACGCAUUUAAAUGAAAGAGCCCUAUGAAUCACUGGCACAUAGAGACUGUCAUUGGGAAUGACCUAACAAAAUAUGCCCUUAGCUAGCAAAGGGGUUCAAAGUUGCUUAAUCCCCUGCACACGAGGGUCCAGCAGGAAGCUAUUAGCAGUCACUAGCACCAACACUGCAGCUGAUUCAGUUGAGUAUACUGGUGCCUAUUAGGGGCUUGUCUACAUGGGAAUACUCAGGAAAAUUAAUCUGAAUAACUGAAGCUGUAAAUUUUAAAUGGAUUAGUUAAAACCACAUUAAAUCCCUGCAUCGACACUCUCCUUCAGAAUUAAAAUAGCCUUAAUUCAGUCUAGCUUUUCUUUCAACUCUCCUUUUAUUUGUUUCACACUCUGAACCCUGAGACUCUGCCGGACCACAACCAGGUUCUUAGAUCUCUGCAAACUAGGAUUGCUUGGGAGUGCGUGCAAAUGAGCAGAAAUGGUGAAAGAAGCCUCUAGCGUCACCAUGCUCACAUCCCAUCACAGCGGCCAGCCACAAAUGGGAUAAGGAGCGAGUCUUAGCCAGUAGCAGAACAAGGCUCCUGUGGGCUGAAGGCCCCUCCCCCUCCUGCAUUGGCCCGUGAAGCUGAACAAACAUAGGAGGAGCACAAGCUGCACCCUUUCAAAGGGGGCAGAGCUGGCACUCCAUAAAUGCAUUCUUCCAGAACCCUCCUACCCCUGCUGCAGCGCAGCCACACCUCACCUUCAUGCAGGCUGUACAUGAUCAGGCAUCAUACUGAAAAGUUAGUGUCUACUACUGUUUUGGGAAGUACCUCAUAAUUCAACAUAAAUGGAUAACAAAAAACAUUGGAAGACAUGUCAAAGAUCACUUGUGCGUCUCUCCAUCAGUAGCUCAGAAGAAUGCUACUGCUGUUCAGUGCAUCUGUCCUGUUUAACUCUGUAUUUUGAUGGCUCAGGUCACUUGCUUUCUAUAUUUCUAACUGUAUUCUUUUUGGAUUUCUGUUUUCUUACCAUCGCUGCUUCGAGAUGUUAUUGAUUUGACAUCAAUUGAUUCUUUCCUCCUGUUCUUGCAUCUGAAGGAGUGGGAUUCUAGAAAUAUAAAAUGAAAACUUUAAAAUGACAAUAAUAAUAAAUACACUGCUCUUCUACUGCCCCUUCCAUUUUAAAAUCCCAAAGCUCGUUAUCUUCACAGCCCCCUGUGAGGUAGGGAGAUAUUGCUAGCUCUAUUAUACAGAUAAAUGGAGGCAGAGACAGAUUAAGGCCAGAUUUUUAAAGAUAUUUAGGCACCUAAAGUUGCCUACUGGGAUUUUCAAAAUUGCCCAGGGGCUAGGUUUUUAAAAUAAUUGAGAUCAAUGGGAGUUCAGUUUAAAUACUUUUAAAAAUCUGGCCCAUGUCAACUGAUACCUAUUGAAAUAAAUUGGAGUUAGGUUCUUAUGCAGUUUUGAAAACCCCACUAGGUGUUGAUCUGCUUCUUUAGGUGCCUAAAUACCUUUGAAAUCUGGCCCUUAGUAACUUGGCCAAGAUCACCCAGGAAUUUGCUGCACACGAAAGACAAGCUACUUUGUCUCCUGACUCCCAGUCUUGUUCUUGAACCAGAAGACUAUCCUGCUUCUCCACACGGAAUUGAGCUGGACAUUUUUUUUAUUUUGUUGAGUAUUAUAUUAAAAAAGAGUUACAGUGAUUAAAAACAAUCAAGUCAGUUGCUGCCAAGCAAUUAGCUACAAACCAAACCACCAUUCCUGACAUUGACAAGAGAGAAAAUCCCAUCUAUCAGACCAGGAAAUAGUCAGAUAAAACAGAUGCACGUUACAUGCUUCAUGAUAAUCUCAAAAGGGUAACCUGGUAAACUUCUAGAUUUUUUUUUCAGAUACAUAGCCACAGUUUACCUUACAUUGUAAAAUAAUUUCCAUCUAUCUAUGUGUACAUAUUUUUAAAAUGCCCAUCAUUGUAGUAUCUAAAGUGCCAGUUAGUUACAGAUCACAGAGAACUGUUCAGAAGGGAUAAUUAUAAUUUAAAGAAUUAGGUCCAUCAUUAAAUUGAUAUUUAUUAACUUCAUGCGAUGCUGGAGGUAUGCAUCUAAUGUGAACAUACAAUAGUAUAAAGAUAUAUAAUAUUAUAAUGUACACAGUAUUAUUGGUUGGAAACUUAAUGGUAUAUGAUUUUACUAAAAUGUCUUAGAAUUUAAAGUAAUGUAAACUAUAAAUAUAAUAAAUAUUUUAAAGUGACUAAAAUUGAUCAAAAGUUUGUUUUAGGAAUACUCUUUAGAUGCUGGAUUCAGAGACACUAAAAAGUUAGGUUGACCCAACUAUCCCUCAGAGGUGUGAAAAAUCUAUAUCCCGGAGUGACAGUUAAGAUGACCUCACCUCGGGGUAGGCAGCACUAGAUUGAUAAAAGCAUUGUUUCAUUGACCUAGCUACUGCUCUUGGGUUACCUAUACCGACAGGAGAAUCUCUCAGACAGCUGCAGCGACACAGGAGCCAGCAAACAGAGCUGUAAACAGGGGAGUUUCAGUGGGAGUUUGUAUUGUGGUGCUUGUUUGGGGUUGGUUUUUGCUGUGGGAGGUGGUGUUGUGGUGUUGUUUAUGUUUCCCAGAUAAACAGGAUUCAGGUGUGAAGGCGAUGACAGAUACAGAGGCAGCAGUGGGAGUGACCCAUGUAGUGGAAGACACAAUGAAGAUGACUGGAUGUGGAAGCUGUGUGGUGAAAGUUUGAAAGCCACUCUCCUGAAUUUACUGAGUUGCACUGCAGGAUCAAGAUCCCAGCUCCUCUGUUACAGUCUUGCUACUAGUUGUGAUUACUGCUGCUGAUUGGGUUAUUACACCUACAAAUUGUGCAUGCAGCUAUACCAUCAUCCCUUCUCCCCACCUGUUUGUUCACCCACCUGCUAUUAUUGGUUUAAAACGGCAGAUCAUU